UAGCGGAUGUAUGUAGGCCUUUCUUUAAUUUAUUUGUGAUCUUUCUUAAUAGGACAGCAGUCGACUGUUACCAGGUUGGCGUAAUGAAGCCAGCUGGACCAAAAAAAAUCCGCAAGUAGAAAAUCCACAAAACCAAUAUGCAAAUCCCGAUGAAUUUGUAUAUCCGAUUGACGAACGUCCGAUUGGACAAAACUGGCAACAGCAUAUGUAUACGAAUCGUUAUUUUGACCGAGAGGGAGAUGCUAUGAAAAAGGCUUUUCUGGCUCUUCUACAACAAGACUACAGAUAGUGACAAACGAUCAAUGUAUUCUGAGGACACAACCGUUACCACUUCUCCGUUUUUACCUUUUUGAAUAUACAUUAGUGGAGAAAUAAUUUUCUAGUAUAUUCUUCACUUUUGGGAUAAUUUUGUGAAUAUCUUUACGACUAUUAACAUAAUUAUUUGUCGGCCAUCAAAUGAAAUUUUGCUUGUCGAUAAAGCGUCAUCAAAUGAGAUUACUUGGUGAUAACUCGUCAUGAAUAAUCUUUGAUCACACAUUGUAUUCCUUUGAUCAUCACAUUUGCUAAUUCAAAUUGCACCUUGAUCACUGGUUGACGACGCGUUAUAAACACUAAGUUGUUUUAUCGUUUAUCGAUUAUGUAUCAUUGAGAGAAACACGCAUCCUAUAAUACUUCACGUUGUCAUGUACGAAAGAAAAAAAUGAUGAUGAAUAUUUAAAUAAAUUUGGUUCUCCCGAGUUGUCGAUAAUUUCUGACAUAUUUAUACUCCAACAAUUUACUAUUUCAAUGAAUAUUUAAUGUAAUUUCAAAUUCAUUGUUAUUUCAGUAUAUGUUAUUAGGAAUAACUUUAGUGGCAGUCCCAAGAAUACGAUUUUUCUGAGAGAUCGUUUUGAACAGGAUUUCUUAGAAUAAAGCACAGAGAGUGAGAGGUGCUAACUGGGGCAUAAGUUGAUAAGAAGGAAGUUCCGAGGCACUCCCGACUUGUCAUUAUCGAUCCACUCUUCCGCAUUCUGAGAGGUUGGCUAACGGCUAAACUUUCUACAAAUUUCUUUAAUUUUUCCGUGUGAUAGUAGGCCUAGCCUAGGUAGAAUCGUGCAAAUUUGCAAUCUCUAUUUUGCUAAUCCAUAGUAGACUGGCGCUACAAGGUACUUCCUGCCGUUUUUAACCGACGAAAGAGUGUAUCCUCUCUUAUAUCAUUACUUUACUGCUCAAGGGUGUUUAAAAUGUAUAUUAGAAAGAGGUUAGGCCUAUAUAAGUGGCUAAUUAAACAUAUUUGUGAAUAAUUAAGCCUAAUAUUUCAGUCAUGUACGUCUACAUGUAAACGUUUUUAUUUUAUUUUAUUUUGAAUUUAUGGCAUUGAAAUAACAUAACCGGUAGUGGUAAAGCAGGGGAACCUUGUAGCCGUUUCCCCUCUCUGGAUCCGCUCAUGAGAAUAAUUAUAAUAAAUAAAUGUAGUAUUUUAUCGAUGUAUAUAUAAAAAUUCACAUGAUAGCAUCCCAUUCGGAUUUUAGCGCUAAAUACCUAUUGCUGUAUCAUACACGCUUACCCCUAUCGGUAUUUCAUUAUAUAUAGUUUUUAGUAGCUACAAUAUACAUAGGCCUAUUCUAAUUAUCCAGGACAAGACAAUUUAUUGUUUUCGAAAAUACAUUUUAAUUCGAUAGGUCUACAAAAAUACCCGAAGGAAAGGGAGAUAAAACAUUUUAAAAUUAAUAAAAAGUGUGAAGAUAAUCUA
RNAcentral lists this long non-coding RNA (1732 nucleotides) under Anneissia japonica. RNAcentral describes it as "uncharacterized LOC117120851". The record is from RNAcentral. Lineage: Eukaryota; Metazoa; Echinodermata; Crinoidea; Comatulida; Comatulidae.